This 71-nucleotide transfer RNA is filed under the name Psettina iijimae. Its description in RNAcentral is "tRNA-Gly". It matches the Rfam family "tRNA". Rfam says of the family: Transfer RNA (tRNA) molecules are approximately 80 nucleotides in length. Their secondary structure includes four short double-helical elements and three loops (D, anti-codon, and T loops). The record is from RNAcentral. Lineage: Eukaryota; Metazoa; Chordata; Actinopteri; Pleuronectiformes; Bothidae.
AUCUUUCUAGUAUUAAUUCAGUAUAAGUGCCUUCCAAGCACCUGGCCUUGGUUAGAAUCCAAGGAAAGAUA